Molecule: ribosomal RNA, 497 nt
Filed under: uncultured bacterium
Lineage: Bacteria
Description: partial 16S ribosomal RNA
Rfam family: Bacterial small subunit ribosomal RNA
Source: RNAcentral
GAUGAACGUUGGGGGAGGGCAGAAUACAUGCAAGUCGAGCGAACAGACGAGGAGCUUGCUCCUCUGACGUUAGCGGCGGACGGGUGAGUAACACGUGGAUAACCUACCUAUAAGACUGGGAUAACUUCGGGAAACCGGAGCUAAUACCGGAUAAUAUAUUGAACCGCAUGGUUCAAUAGUGAAAGACGGUUUUGCUGUCACUUAUAGAUGGAUCCGCGCCGCAUUAGCUAGUUGGUAAGGUAACGGCUUACCAAGGCAACGAUGCGUAGCCGACCUGAGAGGGUGAUCGGCCACACUGGAACUGAGACACGGUCCAGACUCCUACGGGAGGCAGCAGUAGGGAAUCUUCCGCAAUGGGCGAAAGCCUGACGGAGCAACGCCGCGUGAGUGAUGAAGGUCUUCGGAUCGUAAAACUCUGUUAUUAGGGAAGAACAAAUGUGUAAGUAACUAUGCACGUCUUGACGGUACCUAAUCAGAAAGCCACGGCUAACUACGUG